This 211-nucleotide non-coding RNA is filed under the name Rhodovulum sp. Lineage: Bacteria; Pseudomonadati; Pseudomonadota; Alphaproteobacteria; Rhodobacterales; Paracoccaceae. The record is from RNAcentral.
GGCUAUCCCGUCCGCGAUGGUGCCCGUGAUCCGCAUGUCACGGGUGAAAAGGGAACGCGGUGCGCCGAACUUCGGCAAACCCGCGACUGCCCCCGCAACUGUAAGCGGCGAGCGUGCUUCGACAUGUCCACUGGGCCCCGUGUGGCCCGGGAAUGAUCGGAGGGCGCCGGGACCCGCGAGUCAGGAAACCUGCCAUCGCCACGACCUGUUC